GUGCCAGCCGCCGCGGUAAUACGGAAUGUGCAAACGUUAUUCGGAAUCACUGGGCUUAAAGAGUCUGUAGGCGGUUUGUUAGGUGAGGUGUGAAAUCCCUCGGCCCAACCGAGGAAUUGCGCUUCAAACCGGCGAGCUAGAGGAGGAUAGAGGUGGGCGGAACUGAUGGUGGAGCGGUGAAAUGCGUUGAUAUCAUCAGGAACACCGGAGGCGAAAGCGGUCCACUGGGUCCUUUCUGACGCUGAUGGACGAAAGCUAGGGGAGCGAACGGGAUUAGAUACCCGUGUAGUCC
This 292-nucleotide ribosomal RNA is filed under the name uncultured bacterium. RNAcentral describes it as "partial 16S ribosomal RNA". It matches the Rfam family "Bacterial small subunit ribosomal RNA", at positions 505 to 796 of the family's 1533-position model. The record is from RNAcentral.